Molecule: long non-coding RNA, 1106 nt
Organism: Apodemus sylvaticus (European woodmouse)
Lineage: Eukaryota; Metazoa; Chordata; Mammalia; Rodentia; Muridae
Exons: 5
Source: RefSeq, a predicted model, not a curated record
AUCAUUUCUGCAACAAAGCUUUCUUGGAGGUGCCUGGAGUUGGAGUGUUUGGAAAGGGACUCUGAAAUGAAGUUCCUGGAUUCACCUUCGAGCUGGAGGUCUUAUCCGUUGCAGGAAGGAGCUUGAAGCAUGGUCAGGCCUGAAGACAGUGAGCCUGACCUGGGCCUUGUGCAGGUACAGACUGCCUCUGUCUACUGGGGGAGUCCUCUACUCGCAUCAAGGCGCUGAGUGGGUGAGUGGGCCCUGCCCAUCCUCCUCCAGGACCUGGAGGAAGGGGGACUUGAAAUGAUGAACUCUCCAAGGCCUUCCCAAUUGAGAACUGAAGGUCUGUGAGCUGCAACACAUAUCUGGCCCCCACCCCAGAUGUGCAGCCGUCCCAGCAGCCAGAGGCCAGCUCACCCCACCCAGAUUGCUGGCCAGCUGCAGCCCCCUGUUUCCCAGAGAAGAGAACUAAUAAAGGACAGUCUCGGAGCCACAGCCUCUCCAGUUCAAUCUUGCCACAGCCGCCCCAUAAAACUGAGGGGAGAGAUAUAAAGGAAACAAGUGUCUGGCAGAACCCUCAGGAGAAGCCGGGCUCCUCCAAGCUAUGUGCCUGGGAUGAGCAUGAAGUCUGAGUUCUUCUGGUGUGUAUCCUUGUCUAUUCUGCCCAGGAAAGAGAUUAGUGCUGCACUCAACUCUAGCCAAAAAAGCGUCUCUGUAGUCAGCAGCAGUUAAUGAAGGGACUCAUAAUUGAGAAUAAAUAACUUAUUGAGUACUCGGCUGUAUGUAACACGUUGAUAUCAAAGCCCUAGAAGCUCAAGGAACAUUGUGUGAGAUGGGGCCAAAAGAAUGUAGGAGCAGAAGACGGAAGGCAAGUUGGGAAAUGCAGUCUUUUUGCUGUAGCACGACACUCAGCUACAUAAGACCUGCACAAGAUCGAGCCAGCCAGAUCAUCCAACAUUAAUCGAAUUCAGUGGGUUACAAAACAACAAAUCAAAACCAACAACAAAUCAGAAGGGAUAUGAAGGGGAGACACAUGUCGUGGGUCCCUGGAGGACUGGGGAGGAUUUUAAGGUACAUAAUUUCAAGGUACAUUGUUAACCUGUACGAAUUGUCAAAGAACAAAU